AGAGUUUGAUCAUGGCUCAGGACGAACGCUGGCGGCGUGCCUAAUACAUGCAAGUAGAACGCUGACUACUUUAGCUUGCUAGAGUAGAAGGAGUUGCGAACGGGCGAGUAACGCGUAGGUAACCUGCCUACUAGCGGGGGAUAACUAUUGGAAACGAUAGCUAAUACCGCAUAACAGUGUUUAACACAUGUUAGAUGCUUGAAAGAUGCAAAUGCAUCACUAGUAGAUGGACCUGCGUUGUAUUAGCUAGUUGGUGGGGUAACGGCCUACCAAGGCGACGAUACAUAGCCGACCUGAGAGGGUGAUCGGCCACACUGGGACUGAGACACGGCCCAGACUCCUACGGGAGGCAGCAGUAGGGAAUCUUCGGCAAUGGGGGCAACCCUGACCGAGCAACGCCGCGUGAGUGAAGAAGGUUUUCGGAUCGUAAAGCUCUGUUGUAAGAGAAGAACGUGUGUGAGAGUGGAAAGUUCACACAGUGACGGUAACUUACCAGAAAGGGACGGCUAACUACGUGCCAGCAGCCGCGGUAAUACGUAGGUCCCGAGCGUUGUCCGGAUUUAUUGGGCGUAAAGCGAGCGCAGGCGGUUUAAUAAGUCUGAAGUUAAAGGCAGUGGCUUAACCAUUGUUCGCUUUGGAAACUGUUAAACUUGAGUGCAGAAGGGGAGAGUGGAAUUCCAUGUGUAGCGGUGAAAUGCGUAGAUAUAUGGAGGAACACCGGUGGCGAAAGCGGCUCUCUGGUCUGUAACUGACGCUGAGGCUCGAAAGCGUGGGGAGCAAACAGGAUUAGAUACCCUGGUAGUCCACGCCGUAAACGAUGAGUGCUAGGUGUUAGGCCCUUUCCGGGGCUUAGUGCCGCAGCU
RNAcentral lists this ribosomal RNA (863 nucleotides) under uncultured bacterium. RNAcentral describes it as "bacterial SSU rRNA". It matches the Rfam family "Bacterial small subunit ribosomal RNA", at positions 8 to 853 of the family's 1533-position model. The record is from RNAcentral.